GCGGCCCGGGCGCGUGUCCCCGCCCCGCAGCCAAUGAGGGCGUUGGGCCGGGGGUGAUGGGCUGCCUCUCGCGGGAGGGAUUCCUGGAGACGCUGCAGUGUGGCGGCGCUCCGGGCGCCGCGCAGCCCCCGUGCCGCCUCCGCCGCCCCGCCCGCCCUGCACUGCCCUGCCCGCCGGCGGCUGACACCGCCGCUCAAACUUAGCGCCCGGCGCGCCGCCAGCCCGCCGAGCGCAGGGAACCGGGGCAACCUGCCCGCCGUGCCGGGGGCGCUCCGCCCGCGCCCCGCCGUGCACCGCAGCCUCGCCCCGGGAGGUGCCGCCGCGGGGAGAGGCUGAAGGACGAGCCCGGAGCGCCCGACCCGGUUGCCAGGUGGUGUGGUAUUUCUCUGUGGGGCUGGUGGGUGCUACACAAGAGCCAUCAGAGACCUGCACCCUGCUUCUGGGAGAUGCUUGGUGGACUCAAGGGUGAUGAAUAUGCUUCAGAAAAAACCCGAAGAUUUAUGUGUUAGUAAUGAAGAG
Molecule: long non-coding RNA, 519 nt
Organism: Pipra filicauda (Wire-tailed manakin)
Lineage: Eukaryota; Metazoa; Chordata; Aves; Passeriformes; Pipridae
Exons: 3
Source: RefSeq, a predicted model, not a curated record